This 795-nucleotide ribosomal RNA is filed under the name uncultured archaeon. RNAcentral describes it as "bacterial SSU rRNA". It matches the Rfam family "Archaeal small subunit ribosomal RNA", at positions 85 to 879 of the family's 1478-position model. The record is from RNAcentral.
ACGGCUCAGUAACACGUGGACAACCUACCCUGAGGUCGGGGAUAAACCCGGGAAACUGGGUAUAAUACCCGAUAGAUCUAGAUCGCUGGAAUGCUUUUAGGUCUAAAGUUCCGACGCCUCAGGAUGGGUCUGCGGCCUAUCAGGGUAGUAGUGGGUGUAAAGCACCUACUAGCCCACGACGGGUACGGGUUGUGAGAGCAAGAGCCCGGAGAUGGAUUCUGAGACACGAAUCCAGGCCCUACGGGGUGCAGCAGGCGCGAAACCUUUACAAUGCUGGCAACAGCGAUAAGGGGACCUCGAGUGCUACGAUACAAUCGUGGCUGUCUAGUUGCCUAAAAAGCAAUUGAUAGCAAGGGCCGGGCAAGACCGGUGCCAGCCGCCGCGGUAACACCGGCGGCUCGAGUGGUAACCGCUAUUAUUGGGUCUAAAGGGUCUGUAGCCGGCUUAGUUAGUCUCUUGAGAAAUCUGGCCGCUCAACGGUCAGGCGUUCAGGGGAUACUGCUAAAGCUCGAGACCGGGAGAGGUGAGAGGUACUUCAGGGGUAGGGGUGAAAUCUUGUAAUCCUUGAAGGACCACCAGUGGCGAAGGCGUCUCACCAGAACGGAUCUGACGGCAAGGGACGAAAGCUAGGGGCACGAACCGGAUUAGAUACCCGGGUAGUCCUAGCCGUAAACGAUGCUCGCUAGGUGUCGGCCACGGUGCGACCGUGGUCGGUGCCGUAGGGAAGCCGUGAAGCGAGCCACCUGGGAAGUACGGCCGCAAGGCUGAAACUUAAAGGAAUUGGCGGGGGAGCAC